RNAcentral lists this ribosomal RNA (468 nucleotides) under uncultured bacterium. RNAcentral's name for it is "partial 16S ribosomal RNA". It matches the Rfam family "Bacterial small subunit ribosomal RNA", at positions 28 to 507 of the family's 1533-position model. The record is from RNAcentral.
GACGAACGCUGGCGGCGUGCUUAACACAUGCAAGUCGAACGGAAAGGCCCUGCUUUUGUGGGGUGCUCGAGUGGCGAAAGGGUGAGUAACGAGUGAGUAACCUGCCCUUGACUUUGGGAUAACUUCAGGAAACUGGGGCUAAUACCGGAUAGGAGCUCCUGCUGCAUGGUGGGGGUUGGAAAGUUUCGGCGGUUGGGGAUGGACUCGCGGCUUAUCAGCUUGUUGGUGGGGUAGUGGCUUACCAAGGCUUUGACGGGUAGCCGGCCUGAGAGGGUGACCGGCCACAUUGGGACUGAGAUACGGCCCAGACUCCUACGGGAGGCAGCAGUGGGGAAUAUUGCACAAUGGGCGGAAGCCUGAUGCAGCAACGCCGCGUGCGGGAUGACGGCCUUCGGGUUGUAAACCGCUUUCGCCUGUGACGAAGCGUGAGUGACGGUAAUGGGUAAAGAAGCACCGGCUAACUACGUG